This 220-nucleotide non-coding RNA is filed under the name Lysinibacillus sphaericus. Its description in RNAcentral is "Lysinibacillus sp. T-box sequence". It matches the Rfam family "T-box leader". Rfam says of the family: Uncharged tRNA acts as the effector for transcription antitermination of genes in the T-box leader family. T-boxes are found upstream of many aminoacyl-tRNA synthetase genes and some amino acid biosynthetic genes usually in Gram-positive bacteria. Lineage: Bacteria; Bacillati; Bacillota; Bacilli; Caryophanales; Bacillaceae. The record is from RNAcentral.
GAAAAAGCGUUGAUAAGGAGAAGUAAGUGGCGCAUGCUCUUAAGAGAGGACCAUCACCGGCUGAAAGUGGUCUGAGCCCAGGCAAAACUGAAAUGCACCUUUGAGCAUAGAGCUGAACUAUAGUAGGCUUUAUCGAGUCGUUCCCGUUAAAGAACGUCCAGAGUGGAAGGCAUCUUUGCCUUCAAACAGAGUGGAACCACGCAUUUUAAGCGUCUCUGUC